GAUGAACGCUGGCGGCGUGCAUAACACAUUCAAGUCGAACGGAGCUUUAAGAAUUAAUCCUUCGGGAAGCGUUUUUAAAGCUUAGUGGCGGACGGGUGAGUAACGCGUGAGCAACCUGCCUGCGAUAGAGGAAUAACACAUGGAAACGUGUGCUAAUACCGCAUGAGGCAACCGACCCGCAUGAGUUGGUUGUUAAAGAGAAAUCGAUCGCAGAUGGGCUCGCGUAUGAUUAGGCAGUUGGUAGGGUAACGGCCUACCAAACCUACGAUCAUUAGCCGAACUGAGAGGUUGAACGGCCACAUUGGAACUGAGAAACGGUCCAG
This 323-nucleotide ribosomal RNA is filed under the name uncultured bacterium. RNAcentral's name for it is "bacterial SSU rRNA". It matches the Rfam family "Bacterial small subunit ribosomal RNA", at positions 28 to 334 of the family's 1533-position model. The record is from RNAcentral.